Molecule: transfer RNA, 72 nt
Filed under: Bos taurus (domestic cattle)
Lineage: Eukaryota; Metazoa; Chordata; Mammalia; Artiodactyla; Bovidae
Also listed under: 3 other names
Rfam family: tRNA
About the family: Transfer RNA (tRNA) molecules are approximately 80 nucleotides in length. Their secondary structure includes four short double-helical elements and three loops (D, anti-codon, and T loops).
Source: Rfam by way of RNAcentral
UCCCUGGUGGCUCAGAUGGUAAAGAGUCUGCCUGCAGUGCAGGAGACCUAGGUUUGAUCCCUGGUCGGGAAG